Molecule: long non-coding RNA, 377 nt
Filed under: Gossypium barbadense (sea-island cotton)
Lineage: Eukaryota; Viridiplantae; Streptophyta; Magnoliopsida; Malvales; Malvaceae
Description: long non-coding RNA (GBAR_LNC008465)
Source: RNAcentral
UUAUGCUACCACUUCGAGAAGGAACCAUCACCCUAGCUGCGUGCUUAAUCCCCAGGAAAACGCCAGUUACGUUAACACUAAGAACACGCUCGAAAUCUGAUUUGUCGUUGUCCAUUAUGCGACUCUUGUUGGGAUCAACGAUGCCGGCGUUGUUGAACAUGAUGUCCAACUUUCCGUGAGUGGCGACGGCUUUGUCAACAGCAUUUUUUAUUUGGUCUUCAUCAGUGACGUUGCAAUGCACGUAGGAACAGUUUGAAGGGCCUAUGUCCUCACAAACCCGAUGACCUAAAUCAUCUUGGAUAUCAGCAAUUACAACUUUGGCUCCAUGCUGUGCAAACACUUUAGCAGUGCAUUUCCCAAUACCACUAGCUCCUCCU